Molecule: ribosomal RNA, 460 nt
Filed under: uncultured Paludibacter sp.
Lineage: Bacteria; Pseudomonadati; Bacteroidota; Bacteroidia; Bacteroidales; Paludibacteraceae
Description: bacterial SSU rRNA
Rfam family: Bacterial small subunit ribosomal RNA
Source: RNAcentral
CCUACGGGGGGCUGCAGUGAGGAAUAUUGGUCAAUGGGCGAAAGCCUGAACCAGCCAAGUCGCGUGAAGGAAGAAGGUUCUAUGGAUUGUAAACUUCUUUUGUAAGGGAAUAAAAAGAGCUACGUGUAGCUUAUUGUAUGUACUUUACGAAUAAGGAUCGGCUAACUCCGUGCCAGCAGCCGCGGUAAUACGGAGGAUCCAAGCGUUAUCCGGAUUUAUUGGGUUUAAAGGGUGCGUAGGCGGACUUAUAAGUCAGCGGUGAAAGUUUGCAGCUCAACUGUAAAAUUGCCGUUGAAACUGUUAGUCUUGAGUGUAAAUGAGGUAGGCGGAAUGUGUUGUGUAGCGGUGAAAUGCUUAGAUAUAACACAGAACACCAAUUGCGAAGGCAGCUUACUGGGAUGCAACUGACGCUGAGGCACGAAAGCGUGGGGAUCAAACAGGAUUAGAUACCCCGGUAGUC